Molecule: long non-coding RNA, 625 nt
Organism: Ipomoea triloba (trilobed morning glory)
Lineage: Eukaryota; Viridiplantae; Streptophyta; Magnoliopsida; Solanales; Convolvulaceae
Exons: 5
Source: RefSeq, a predicted model, not a curated record
CUGCUGCAUACUUAUCAGCCAUACUUUUCUUUUUAGAUGUUCCCGCACUCUGCGCAAGCUUUUCCCUCUGCAAAUGCAUGUCAAAUUUAUGUUUGAAAGUGCAGGACCUGCAAAAAGUAGUAAGUCUGAUCAUAUCUGCCAUUAUGGAAAUGAGGAAGCUAGGGCUUGAAAUUUACCAUUUGGCAGACAUGCCCACUCCCAUCCAUCUUGAAUUGGCGACGAACAUCUUCUUGAAGUUGCAACAAUUGAAAUGCACCUAAAAACCAGUUCAGUUCAGUUCACAUCACACUCACUCAUGAGCUUUACAGAAAAUAGCAAACCAUAAGCAAAUAGUGCUGAUUUUAAACAAGAUCAGAAGAAAGCAUGAUGGAAUUGAUCUGAUGGCUAACCUGCGUGUGAAAGUCGUUCUGCUUCAGAUUCAGCAUGUUGUAUGAAGCCUAUUUUGUCACCUCGCACAUACUGCUGAAGAAAACCUUUCAAUAUUGUAGCAAGAUAAACAGCAUGCAAAUGUAUUCAUUCAAUUUCAGACACUUGCCUUGAGCCUGCCAUGAACUUUAUCAGGGUUGUCCACUAAAUCAGAUGAUGCCAUUGAUGCAACCGCCAGAUGUCCUAUAUAGUCUUCAAA